RNAcentral lists this ribosomal RNA (201 nucleotides) under uncultured bacterium. RNAcentral describes it as "partial 16S ribosomal RNA". It matches the Rfam family "Bacterial small subunit ribosomal RNA", at positions 8 to 194 of the family's 1533-position model. The record is from RNAcentral.
AGAGUUUGAUCAUGGCUCAGGAUGAACGCUAGCUACAGGCUUAACACAUGCAAGUCGAGGGGCAGCAUGAACUUAGCUUGCUAAGUUUGAUGGCGACCGGCGCACGGGUGAGUAACACGUAUCCAACCUGCCGAUGACGUCGGGGAUAGUCCUUUACGAAAGAAAGAUUAACUACCCGAUGGCAUAGUUCUUCCGCAUGGU